GGGAGGAUAGCUCAGCGGAUAGAGCGGCGGUACGUACCCAAAUGGCCAAGAUGCAGCAGGACACAGGUUCAAAUCCUGUUCCUCCCA
Molecule: transfer RNA, 87 nt
Filed under: Bacteroides fragilis
Lineage: Bacteria; Pseudomonadati; Bacteroidota; Bacteroidia; Bacteroidales; Bacteroidaceae
Also listed under: 19 other names
Description: tRNA-OTHER
Rfam family: tRNA
About the family: Transfer RNA (tRNA) molecules are approximately 80 nucleotides in length. Their secondary structure includes four short double-helical elements and three loops (D, anti-codon, and T loops).
Source: RNAcentral